GAAAUUUUAACACAAGGUUUAUGACCACAAAAGGAAGGUUGGUAUUGAUUUUGGGAGUUUUGGUCCCAACAUUUUAGGAAUUAGGGGCCAAAAAGGGCCCAAAUAAGCAUUUUCUUGGUUUUCGCACUAUAACUUUAGUUUAAGUUAAUAGAAAUCUAUGAAAUUUUGACACAAGGUUUAUCACCACAAAAGAAAGGUUGGGAUUGAUUUUGGGAGUUUUGGUUCCAACAGUUUAGGAAUUAGGG
RNAcentral lists this long non-coding RNA (245 nucleotides) under Mytilus galloprovincialis (Mediterranean mussel). The record is from RNAcentral. Lineage: Eukaryota; Metazoa; Mollusca; Bivalvia; Mytilida; Mytilidae.